This 253-nucleotide ribosomal RNA is filed under the name uncultured bacterium. RNAcentral describes it as "partial 16S ribosomal RNA". It matches the Rfam family "Bacterial small subunit ribosomal RNA", at positions 524 to 776 of the family's 1533-position model. The record is from RNAcentral.
UACAGAGGUCUCAAGCGUUGUUCGGAUUCAUUGGGCGUAAAGGGUGCGUAGGUGGCGCCGUAAGUCGGGUGUGAAAUUUCGGAGCUUAACUCCGAAACUGCAUUCGAUACUGCGGUGCUUGAGGACUGGAGAGGAGACUGGAAUUCAUGGUGUAGCAGUGAAAUGCGUAGAGAUCAUGAGGAAGACCAGUGGCGAAGGCGGGUCUCUGGACAGUUCCUGGCACUGAGGCACGAAGGCCAGGGGAGCAAACGGG